GCUUCUCAAUCCCACCUCGAGAAAAGCGGCGAUUAAAAAAUACGAUUGUUCACAGCGAAAAAGAAAAAAAAAAUUCCCUCAUGCUUCAGCCCGCCGCCGCCACCGCGCCUCUCGUGCGGGCCCACCGCCGCCACUCCGCUCGCGCGGCUGCGCUCACGACUCCCCUACCCCGCCGCCACCUCGGAUCGCCUGUGGCCGCCGCCUCCCGCCAGAGCCGUCGUCGUCGUUGCCGAGGGAAGCGGGCCGCAUCGCCGCCGCCGCUCUAGGCCGCCGCCUCCUACACGCCCGCCGCUUCCCACCGCCUCCGCCGACGCCUUGACCAAAAUUGUCCCUCACAUCUCCCGUUCUCUUAGGGCUGGCAAUCUCUGCUCCGCCGCCAUUGCAUCGGAGGAAGGAGACCGCCGCUGGUCCGGCCCGCGUGGAGGCACUUUUCUGCUUUGCCGCCUUGGCGUUGUUUCCGGGCAGGAGACCCCACAGCUCAGGCACUCCGGCUCCGGCGAUUCGGCCCCAUCCCCUGCAGGGCAAACAAAGCGGCGGCGUUGCUUCGAGAAGGACAGGCACCGUGGUGUCCGAGCGGCAUGGAGGCCAAGUUGUGAGACACCCACGGACUGCUUCAUCAGUUCACAUGCCUGAGCAAGGUCCUGGAUGGCGAGAUCCACCAGCUAAUCACCAAAGGCAGCUUUUGCAUCAUGCAGCUGCUGCAGGCCACGAUGGGAUUGGAGAACUCCUAAUCUUGUUCACACAGAGUUCAAGCAGCACCUAGAAUUGACAUGGGCAGGCAAUUCAUUGGUGAUGGAGAAGAACUGCAUGCGGCGCUGCCUACACUGACUCACCUUAAUGAAAAUGACAAUUCGAUUUAUUAUAUGGUGGUUGCAGAAUUAUCACCUCACUUACAUGGUCAGGUUGUGACAAAAUAUCUUAAAUGCAUAUGGUCAAUAUAACACUAUUGCCUACCAUUUAUCCCUUGUUCUGCAUUUUCAUUGUAGAUGGACCAUUUCUGUCCAAUUAACUACAGGCACUCAACUUUUGUACUAUGAUCUCUGAACAAAGAAAUUUUUUGAAGGGGGACCAUGUUUCUGAAAUUGACCAUCUGGAAAAAAGUUCUGACAUUGCUUUCUAGGAUCAAUAGUCAAUUGCUACUAAAUUGCAGGGCCUGACGUUGAUAUAUACAACUGAAGAGAAAUAUGGUUAUUGCUGAUAUAUACAAUUUAUUUUUUAAACUCUCUCGCUGAUUUGGUUUCAUUUCAUUAAGGUAGAUAAAUUUAUUCCAAAGCAAAAUUCUACCUUCCCCAUCACUGCCACUCUCCAUCAUGAUUGACCUGCUCUCCGCUCUCUCCAAGAAUUAUCACCCCACUUAUCUGGUUAGGCGGAUCUACCACCGGCGGGCGAUGGCAAUGGUAGGAGCAGCGGCUACGGUGAGCUUGGGCAGCGCUGAUCCCGUCGCCUCUCCUCCCUCUCUCCGUUGCCCGGAGGGCAUGGGCUGGCCGAUCCAGGCGGCCGCGAGCUCGGGUAACCAGCGGGUGCGGGAUCCAGCAUGCGGACGACAUAAAUACCCACAUGAGGAAAACUGAUUUUCACAUGUCGGUGUGUCACCUGGAUGGAAAAUUCCUAUUUUCGCAGAUGUUUGGUCCAACUGCAUGUGAAAAUAUAUUUUGACCGCAUGCACAAAUGCUUUUGUAGUUAUGAAAACUUAUGGUAGAAUUACACUCUUGUGACGAAGGGAGUCUCUCCCUCCGUUCCUCUAUAAGUACAAUUAUAAAUCUAAUUUACUUUUCUAAAAUAAAUAUAAUAUCCUCCUACCUCA
Molecule: non-coding RNA, 1804 nt
Organism: Oryza sativa Japonica Group (Japanese rice)
Lineage: Eukaryota; Viridiplantae; Streptophyta; Magnoliopsida; Poales; Poaceae
Source: RefSeq, a predicted model, not a curated record